GAUGAACGCUGGCGGCGUGCCUAAUACAUGCAAGUCGAGCGAACAGAUGAGGAGCUUGCUCCUCUGACGUUAGCGGCGGACGGGUGAGUAACACGUGGAUAACCUACCUAUAAGACGGGGAUAACUUCGGGAAACCGGAGCUAAUACCGGAAAAUUUAUUGAACCGCAUGGUUCAAUAGUGAAAGACGGUUUUGCUGUCACUUAUAGUUGGAUCCGCGCCGCAUUAGCUAGUUGGUAAGGUAACGGCUUACCAAGGCAACGAUGCGUAGCCGACCUGAGAGGGUGAUCGGCCACACUGGAACUGAGACACGGUCCAGACUCCUACGGGAGGCAGCAGUAGGGAAUCUUCCGCAAAGGGCGAAAGCUUGACGGAGCAACGCCGCGUGAGUGAUGAAGGUCUUCGGAUCGUAAAACUCUGUUAUUAGGGAAGAACAAAUGUGUAAGUAACUAUGCACGUCUUGACGGUACCUAAUCAGAAAGCCACGGCUAACUACGUG
Molecule: ribosomal RNA, 497 nt
Filed under: uncultured bacterium
Lineage: Bacteria
Description: partial 16S ribosomal RNA
Rfam family: Bacterial small subunit ribosomal RNA
Source: RNAcentral